Molecule: ribosomal RNA, 386 nt
Filed under: Peltophryne dunni
Lineage: Eukaryota; Metazoa; Chordata; Amphibia; Anura; Bufonidae
Description: partial 12S ribosomal RNA
Rfam family: Bacterial small subunit ribosomal RNA
Source: RNAcentral
CCCCACUAUGCCUAACCGUAAACUUUUAUUUACACCUAAUCGCCAGGGAACUACGAGCCAAGCUUAAAACCCAAAGGACUUGACGGUACCCCAUAUCCCCCUAGAGGAGCCUGUCCUAUAAUCGAUAAUCCACGUUUAACCUCACCAUUUUUUGUUAAUCAGCCUGUAUACCUCCGUCGCCAGCUUACCACGUGAGCGAUUGUUAGUGAGCCUAAUGUUUUUCACCAAUACGUCAGGUCAAGGUGCAGCAAAUGAAAUGGGAAGAGAUGGGCUACACUUUCUAUUAUAGAAGAAACGAAAAACUAUUUAUGAAAAUCUAGUUAGAAGGCGGAUUUAGAAGUAAAAAGAAAUCAGCAUGUUCAUUUUAACCUGGCAUUGGGGUGUGU